This 332-nucleotide ribosomal RNA is filed under the name uncultured bacterium. RNAcentral's name for it is "bacterial SSU rRNA". It matches the Rfam family "Bacterial small subunit ribosomal RNA", at positions 468 to 793 of the family's 1533-position model. The record is from RNAcentral.
UUUGACGUUAGCGACAGAAGAAGCACCGGCUAACUCCGUGCCAGCAGCCGCGGUAAUACGGAGGGUGCGAGCGUUAAUCGGAAUUACUGGGCGUAAAGCGCAUGCAGGUGGUUUGUUAAGUUCAGAUGUGAAAGACCCGGGGCGUCAACCUCGGAAUAGCAUUUGAAACUGGCAGACUAGAGUACUGUAGAGGGGGGUAGGAAGUUUCAGGUGUAGCGGUGAAAUGCGUAGAGAUCUGAAGGAAUACCGGUGGCGAAGGCGGCCCCCUCGGACAGAUACUGACACUCAGAUGCGAAAGCGUGGGGAGCAAACAGGAUUAGAUACCCUGGUAG